Molecule: ribosomal RNA, 254 nt
Filed under: uncultured bacterium
Lineage: Bacteria
Description: partial 16S ribosomal RNA
Rfam family: Bacterial small subunit ribosomal RNA
Source: RNAcentral
UACGGGGGGAGCAAGCGUUGUUCGGAUUUACUGGGCGUAAAGGGCGCGUAGGCGGCCAGCACAAGUCAGUUGUGAAAUCUCCGAGCUUAACUCGGAAAGGUCAACUGAUACUGUGCGGCUAGAGUGCGGAAGGGGCAACUGGAAUUCUCGGUGUAGCGGUGAAAUGCGUAGAUAUCGAGAGGAACACCUGCGGCGAAGGCGGGUUGCUGGGCUGACACUGACGCUGAGGCGCGAAAGCCAGGGGAGCGAACAGG